AUGAAACGAGCUCCAGAGACAGAAAGGAGUCUCUUGCCAUAACUCCUCUUGAUGCAAUUUCAAGUGUGUUAGAGCCUACAUCGUAUGAUUCAUUCUGCAAAAGGGAGGUAGGCAUCAACAGAGAACCUUUAAUCUUCUGAACAGAAGAGACUGUGCUGCAUUUGACUUUCCAAAUGUCAAUACAGAAAGAGGAAUGAUUGUCAACGUUCCUGUAACGACCCAUUUCAGUUUUCUACACACAAGCACGAUGAUGCCUAGAAAUCAGCUUGUAGAAACCUAUCUAGCCACCUUCGUUAA
This is a long non-coding RNA of Corticium candelabrum, 297 nucleotides long. RefSeq lists it as uncharacterized. The record is from RefSeq and is a predicted model, not a curated record. Lineage: Eukaryota; Metazoa; Porifera; Homoscleromorpha; Homosclerophorida; Plakinidae. The transcript is spliced from 3 exons.